ACGGGGUGCAGCAGGCGCGGAACCUUUACAAUGCACGCAAGUGCGAUAAGGGGAUUCUCAGUGCUCAUGCUUCGGUAUGGGCUUUUGCCAAGAGUAAAUAUCUUGGCGAAUAAGUGGUGGGCAAGACUGGUGCCAGCCGCCGCGGUAACACCAGCGCCACGAGUGGCAAUCGCGUUUAUUGGGCCUAAAGCGUUCGUAGCCGGAUAGAUCAGUCUUGGGUGAAAUCGAUGCGCUUAACAAAUCGGCGUGCUUGAGAUACUGUCUAUCUAGAGACCGGGAGGCGUAAGAGGUAUUCUGGAGGGAGCGGUAAAAUGCUAUAAUCUCCGGAGGACCACCUGUGGCGAAGGCGUCUUACGAGAACGGGUCUGACGGUGAGGAACGAAAGCUAGGGGAGCAAACCGGAUUAGAUACCCGAGUAGUCCUAGCCGUAAACGCUGUGAACUAGAUGUUGCACAUUCUUUAUGGUUGUGCAGUAUCGUAGGGAAGCUGUUAAGUUCACCGCCUGGGUAGUACGGUCGCAAGGCUGAAACUUAAAGGAAUUGGCGGGGGGGAGCACAGGUCGGACUGGCCAAG
This 573-nucleotide ribosomal RNA is filed under the name uncultured archaeon. Its description in RNAcentral is "bacterial SSU rRNA". It matches the Rfam family "Archaeal small subunit ribosomal RNA", at positions 325 to 899 of the family's 1478-position model. The record is from RNAcentral.